UGUGGUCGGCUCCUCUUAAAUGGAUCAGCUUGCCAGUGUUUGGUGGCAUCACAGGUGUGAUAACUAUCUACGCUUGUGGUUUUCCACCAGGUAACCUUCAGUGAUGGAGGUUCGCUGGAGCUCAUAAACGUCUCUCCUCAGCGAGGACAGCUUCUUGAACGUUUGAUCUCAAAUCAGGUAGGGCUACCCGCUGAACUUAA
Molecule: unclassified non-coding RNA, 200 nt
Filed under: soil metagenome
Description: partial contains internal transcribed spacer 2 and large subunit ribosomal RNA
Source: RNAcentral